This 418-nucleotide ribosomal RNA is filed under the name uncultured bacterium. RNAcentral's name for it is "bacterial SSU rRNA". It matches the Rfam family "Bacterial small subunit ribosomal RNA", at positions 355 to 765 of the family's 1533-position model. The record is from RNAcentral.
UGGGGAAUAUUGGACAAUGGGCGAAAGCCUGAUCCAGCCAUGCCGCGUGUGUGAAGAAGGUCUUCGGAUUGUAAAGCACUUUAAGUUGGGAGGAAGGGCAGUAAGUUAAUACCUUGCUGUUUUGACGUUACCGACAGAAUAAGCACCGGCUAACUCUGUGCCAGCAGCCGCGGUAAUACAGAGGGUGCAAGCGUUAAUCGGAAUUACUGGGCGUAAAGCGCGCGUAGGUGGUUUGUUAAGUUGGAUGUGAAAGCCCCGGGCUCAACCUGGGAACUGCAGCCAAAACUGGCAAGCUAGAGUACGGUAGAGGGUGGUGGAAUUUCCUGUGUAGCGGUGAAAUGCGUAGAUAUAGGAAGGAACACCAGUGGCGAAUGCGACCACCUGGACUGAUACUGACACUGAGGUGCGAAAGCGUGGG